AAAAUACUAAAAUAGUAAUUAAAUAUUUAUUGAAACUUAAAUAAUUUGGCGGUAUUUUAGUUCAUUUAGAGGAAUCUGUUUAAUAAUUGAUAUUCCACGAAUAAAUUUACUUAUUUUAUAAUUUUGUAUAUCGUUGUUAUAAAAAUAUUUUUUAAUGAAAUUAAUGUUUAAAAAUUAAUAUGAAAAAUUAAAUCAAAUCAAGAUGCAGAUUAUAAUUAAGAAUAUAAUGGAUUACAAUAAAUUUAUUUAAAUGGAUUUUAUUUUGUAAUAUUUAAUUGAAGGUGGAUUUAAAUGUAAUUUUAUUUAAUUUAAUAAAAUGAUUAAAAAUUAAAAUAUGU
RNAcentral lists this ribosomal RNA (338 nucleotides) under Sesamia typhae. RNAcentral's name for it is "partial 12S ribosomal RNA". Lineage: Eukaryota; Metazoa; Arthropoda; Insecta; Lepidoptera; Noctuidae. The record is from RNAcentral.